AGCAGCCGCGGUAAUUCCAGCUCCAAUAGCGUAUAUUAAAGUUGUUGCAGUUAAAAAGCUCGUAGUUGAAUUUCGGGAUUGACACAUCGGUCGUGCCUUAAGGGGUAUGAACUGGUGUAGUCAAUUUCUCACCUUCUGGAGAACCGCGAUGCCCUUAAUUGGGUGUCACGGGGAACCAGGACCUUUACUUUGAAAAAUUAGAGUGUUUAAAGCAGGCAUUUUGCUUGAAUACAUUAGCAUGGAAUAAUAAAAUAGGACGGCAUGAUUCUAUUUUGUUGGUUUCUAGGAUCACCGUAAUGAUUAAUAGGGAUAGUUGGGGGCAUUAGUAUUCAAUUGUCAGAGGUGAAAUUCUUGGAUUUAUUGAAGACUAACUACUGCGAAAGCAUUUGCCAAGGAUGUUUUCAUUAAUCAAGAACGAAAGUUAGGGGAUCGAAGACGAUCAGAUACCGUCGUAGUCUUAACCAUAAACUAUGCC
Molecule: ribosomal RNA, 475 nt
Filed under: uncultured Entrophospora
Lineage: Eukaryota; Fungi; Glomeromycota; Glomeromycetes; Entrophosporales; Entrophosporaceae
Description: SSU rRNA
Rfam family: Eukaryotic small subunit ribosomal RNA
Source: RNAcentral